CCAAUAGCGUAUAUUAAAGUUGUUGCAGUUAAAAAGCUCGUAGUUGAAUUUCGGGGUCAGCAAGUUGGUCGUGCCACUGGUAUGUACUGGCUUUGCUGAUUCCUCCUUCUUGUAGAACCGUAAUGCCAUUAAUUUGGUGUUGCGGGGAAACAGGACUGUUACUUUGAAAAAAUUAGAGUGUUUAAAGCAGGCUAACGCUUGAAUACAUUAGCAUGGAAUAAUGAAAUAGGACGAGCGAUCCUAUUUUGUUGGUUUCUAGGAUUGACGUAAUGAUUAAUAGGGAUAGUUGGGGGCAUUAGUAUUCAAUUGUCAGAGGUGAAAUUCUUGGAUUUAUUGAAGACUAACUACUGCGAAAGCAUUUGCCAAGGAUGUUUUCAUUAAUCAAGAACGAAAGUUAGGGGAUCGAAGACGAUCAGAUACCGUCGUAGUCUUAACCAUAAACUAUGCCGACUAGGGAUCGGAUAAUGUUAAUUUUAUAAUGACUCAUUCGGCGCCUUACG
Molecule: ribosomal RNA, 500 nt
Filed under: uncultured Glomeromycotina
Lineage: Eukaryota; Fungi; Glomeromycota
Description: partial small subunit ribosomal RNA
Rfam family: Eukaryotic small subunit ribosomal RNA
Source: RNAcentral